This 1462-nucleotide long non-coding RNA is filed under the name Mytilus galloprovincialis (Mediterranean mussel). The record is from RNAcentral. Lineage: Eukaryota; Metazoa; Mollusca; Bivalvia; Mytilida; Mytilidae.
GCGGGCCAUGGUUGGGAGCUAAAAACUGAACAUUUGUGUUUUUAGUACAUUUUUCUGUUUUUUAUUGACAUCUGACGAUGGAAGGUUGUUUUUUUUUAACAACCUUGACUGGCUAUACAGCCCUUGCACGGUCAGCUCUGACAUUCCUUAGUUUAUUUUUCCUUUUAUAAUAGUGGUGAGGUCAAGUUCUUACAAAGAAGUUUAACAAGGAGUUUUUAUGGCUGUCUUGUGUCAAGUAUUUCAUUGGUGUUUGAAGCUUUAUGGUUGUUCUUUUUUCAUCCUAAAUAAAUUGAAUGCAACUUUCAAAUAUUAAGUGAGCUCUGUUGAAGAUGUUUACUGUCACUGUAGGAGUAAAUGCAAAUGGUGAAAGAAUGUACUGACCAGGUGAUGACCUUAGUUGUCAUUUUUGUUUCAUGAGAUUUUGGGGUUGCUGUCUUACUGAUGCUUGCACAUGGUCUUCUUUUAUUUAAGUUAAGUUAAGAAUUAUUGUAAAGGCCAAGUGUAGAUGGUGAUUUAUUUUUAUUUGGUACAGCUAUGGUACAAUAGCUGACACAUCAAAAAUAUCUGGUGAAACGUUUGGUACUAGUUCUACCUGCAUAAUAUCAUGACAUGUGAUUAUCAAAAUUAAUACAUCAUAAUCUAUUUAUAAAGUCAAUAAAUGGGAAAUGUGUCCAUUGGCACAGAUGAUGCCCCUGAUUGCAUAUAAUAUUAUAAAGGGGCAUAACUCAAGAACUGUAAAAGUGAUGAUACCUACAUUUGUACUUGAUUGGAGUUUUGUGGUAAUGAGCAUUGUGUAUAUGUUUCAUAACAUUAAGUUGUGGCCAACUAGAUAAGAGAACAGAAACGAAAAUUAAAGCAGUUUUUCCAUUUGUAAAGGGGCAUAGCUCUAGAAAGCUGAAAGUGAAUCCACCAAAAUUAAUUCAAAGGCUAUAGUUUGACCUAUAAUGGUUUACAUUUACAAAUUAUGACUUGGAUGGAGAGUUGUCUCAUGGCACUCAUACCACAUCAUCUGAUAUUUAUUGAUCUGUGUUUUGUGAAAAUGCAUUGUGUAUAAGUUUUAUAACAUUUGGUUGAAGCAAACUAAAGUUAGAAAAUGGAUAUGAAAAUUCAGCUAUUUUUCCAUUUAUAAAGGGACAUAAUUCUUGAAUGGUAAAAGUGACGCCACAAAAUUCACACUUGAUCCGUGUUUUAAGGUAAUGAUCAUUGUGUAUAAGUUUCAUAUUAUUUGGUUGAGGCAAACUAAAGUUAGAGAAUGGAAACCAAUUUUGGGAUGUAUGAACGGAUGUACAUACAUACAGAGGGACAGGGGUAAAACUUAAAUACUCCCUCAAAAAAUAUCUUCUGUCCAUUGAAAGCUUUCAAAAUAACUGUCAUGUCCUGUUUUGACUGGUCAUGUAGGAAGGACUAAAAUUUAAAAGAAGACAAUGGCAUUAUACAAAUGGCAUAACUGGCAAUAACUUGC